Molecule: ribosomal RNA, 614 nt
Filed under: Ochthebius sp. Calpe
Lineage: Eukaryota; Metazoa; Arthropoda; Insecta; Coleoptera; Hydraenidae
Description: partial 16S ribosomal RNA
Rfam family: Bacterial large subunit ribosomal RNA
Source: RNAcentral
GUCUUUUUGAUUAUAAUUUAAAGUCUAACCUGCCCAAUGAGUAUUAAAUGGCCGCGGUAUUUUGACCGUGCAAAGGUAGCAUAAUCAUUAGUUUUUUAAUUAAAAGCUGGAAUGAAUGGUUGGACGAGAAAAUUACUGUCUCAAUUUAAUUUAAUUAGAAUUUUAUUUUUAAGUUAAAAAGCUUAAAUUAAUUUAAAAGACGAGAAGACCCUAUAGAGUUUAAUAUUUUAAAUAAUUAUAAUUUUUAUAAAUUUUACAAUUUUUUAAAAUAUUUUAUUGGGGUGAUAAAUAAAUUUAUUAAACUUUAUUUUAUUUUUUACAUAAAUAAAUGAGUAAGUGAUCCAUUAUUGAUGAUUAUAAGAUUAAAUUACCUUAGGGAUAACAGCGUAAUUUUUUUAGAGAGUUCAAAUCGAAAAAAAAGAUUGCGACCUCGAUGUUGGAUUAAAGUUAAUUUUUGGUGUAGAAGCUAAAAUAUUAAGUCUGUUCGACUUUUAAAACUUUACAUGAUCUGAGUUUAAACCGGCGUGAGCCAGGUUGGUUUCUAUCUUUAAAUAAAUAAAAUAUUUUAGUACGAAAGGACCAAAUAUUUAUAAUAAUUAUUUAUUUUUGAAUAU